This 253-nucleotide ribosomal RNA is filed under the name uncultured bacterium. Its description in RNAcentral is "partial 16S ribosomal RNA". It matches the Rfam family "Bacterial small subunit ribosomal RNA", at positions 524 to 776 of the family's 1533-position model. The record is from RNAcentral.
UACGUAGGGUGCGAGCGUUGUCCGGAUUUAUUGGGCGUAAAGAGCUCGUAGGCGGUUUGUCGCGUCGGCCGUGAAAUCUCCACGCUUAACGUGGAGCGUGCGGUCGAUACGGGCAGACUUGAGUUCGGUAGGGGAGACUGGAAUUCCUGGUGUAGCGGUGAAAUGCGCAGAUAUCAGGAGGAACACCGGUGGCGAAGGCGGCUUUCUGGCCCGUUCUUGACGCUGAGGCGCGAAAGCUAGGGUAGCAAACGGG